This 796-nucleotide long non-coding RNA is filed under the name Gadus morhua (Atlantic cod). RNAcentral describes it as "lncRNA (ENSGMOG00000029147.1)". Lineage: Eukaryota; Metazoa; Chordata; Actinopteri; Gadiformes; Gadidae. The record is from RNAcentral.
GCUGGCGUCACCUCAGCCCGUUUCAAGCAGCGCUUUGAGGCGGACCUGGCGCACCUUGAUCCGUCCUCGCAGAUGGAAAAACCGAACAUGUUUUGAGUUCUUCGCCGGAAUCCCGUUGAGUGAGAGGCCAGGUGUAGCUUGAGUGUAACCACUCAAGUUGUUGUCACGUAAUGUGCACUGCCUUGGUCAUUUUACUUGACGCAGCCAGACGGCUGCCCAACAGCCCAGGUCAUAGUUAUUCGAGGUAAUUUGAGUCAACUCUGGAGGAAUGGUCGCCCCCCCCUGGUCUAGUCCUCCCCCCGGCUUCCUGCUUCUGCCUUAAUGGCUUGUAUAUUCUGGAGAACAGCAUUCGUAGAGACCGGCUGGCAGAGAUUCUGGAACGACGGGGAAAGGAAUACAAGAAACACCAUGCCAGGAACGCAUCGCCACUAGUACCAGGGGCAUUGGAUUCAGAUGAGAAAGGGGAUAAGCUCGAGUUUGAAUACACUCCUCUUAGCUCCAUCCAACUCUCCACUGCAGUAUCCCAUUCAGGGUUUCACAGUUCGCCCCAUGGUCCCCACUCUCAUUCCAGGUAUCACUAAAUGGUGCCAAAGGUGUGCUCCGUCUAGGGACCCCAAGUGAAGCAGAGUGUCGAAGGUGAUUUACGAACCCCAUCAUUUUUUACAUUGCUCCAAUGUGUAACUUAAGUACUUGUGAUUGGGAUUGACUUGUAUGAAACCUAAUUUGUGAGAAAAAAAAACUAGGUGGUGGGAAGAAUCUGCUGAUCUUGGAGACAGAGAGCUUAGAGGAACUCAAC